CCUACGGGUGGCAGCAGUGGGGAAUAUUGCACAAUGGGCGCAAGCCUGAUGCAGCCAUGCCGCGUGUGUGAAGAAGGCCUUCGGGUUGUAAAGCACUUUCAGCGGGGAGGAAGGCGGUGAGGUUAAUAACCUCAUCGAUUGACGUUACCCGCAGAAGAAGCACCGGCUAACUCCGUGCCAGCAGCCGCGGUAAUACGGAGGGUGCAAGCGUUAAUCGGAAUUACUGGGCGUAAAGCGCACGCAGGCGGUCUGUCAAGUCGGAUGUGAAAUCCCCGGGCUCAACCUGGGAACUGCAUUCGAAAAUGGCAGGCUAGAGUCUUGUAGAGGGGGGUAGAAUUCCAGGUGUAGCGGUGAAAUGCGUAGAGAUCUGGAGGAAUACCGGUGGCGAAGGCGGCCCCCUGGACAAAGACUGACGCUCAGGUGCGAAAGCGUGGGGAGCAAACAGGAUUAGAUACCCGUGUAGUC
RNAcentral lists this ribosomal RNA (465 nucleotides) under uncultured Klebsiella sp. Its description in RNAcentral is "bacterial SSU rRNA". It matches the Rfam family "Bacterial small subunit ribosomal RNA", at positions 338 to 795 of the family's 1533-position model. The record is from RNAcentral. Lineage: Bacteria; Pseudomonadati; Pseudomonadota; Gammaproteobacteria; Enterobacterales; Enterobacteriaceae.